This 622-nucleotide long non-coding RNA is filed under the name Chinchilla lanigera (long-tailed chinchilla). RNAcentral's name for it is "lncRNA (ENSCLAG00000022772.1)". The record is from RNAcentral. Lineage: Eukaryota; Metazoa; Chordata; Mammalia; Rodentia; Chinchillidae.
UUAGAAAUGUCCCCUUUCCUACCCACACUUUUUAAAGACACAAUUGCAUUAGUGACUGCCUUUGGGAAUUUUAAAAUCCAUUCUGUGAACAAGGAGAAAUGCAGACAUGUUGGCAACACUGAUCAUUUUUGUUGUGGAUCUCAUGCUUGCUUCGGUUGUUGUGAUUAUUCUAUAUGCUGUUUGCUUAAUAGUAGCCACAGGUAUUUUUAUCUCAGUCAUUUUCUAUAUUUACACCGGAGAGAUGGAAAAACAUUGUGACUUCAACAAGGUUAGAAUUCUAGCAAUGCCGGACUCUAGCAGUGCUCCUGGGAAGAUGCUUGCUGGUCGCAUGGAGAAUGUCAGCUACGGGAUGUUUCCGGUCCAUUUUCCAGCUGUGCAAGAAGGGACCUUUCUGUCUAAGGAGAGUGAUGCUGGCUUCUACAGCACAAGGAACUCAGUACAGUGGAAGAGCCAGAGGAAGGCUUGGCAGAUCCCACCCACAACCAACCAACCAUUCUUUUUUCAGGUAGCUGGGAAAAGACACUCACUAAAAAGAACUACCAGAACUACUUCAGAAAGUGUCCAGAACAAUGGGCAGGCAAGCCAGGCCCAAGGAAGAAGAAACAGCGAGGCCAUUUGUUGA